RNAcentral lists this ribosomal RNA (301 nucleotides) under uncultured bacterium. Its description in RNAcentral is "partial 16S ribosomal RNA". It matches the Rfam family "Bacterial small subunit ribosomal RNA", at positions 510 to 808 of the family's 1533-position model. The record is from RNAcentral.
CGUAGCCACGGUAAUACGUAGGGUGCGAGCGUUAGUCGGAAUUACUGGGCGUAAAGCGUGCGCAGGCGGUUUUGUGAGACAGGCGUGAAAUCCCCGGGCUCAACCUGGGAAUGGCGCUUGUGACUGCAAAGCUAGAGUGCGGCAGAGGGGGAUGGAAUUCCGCGUGUAGCAGUGAAAUGCGUAGAUAUGCGGAGGAACACCGAUGGCGAAGGCAAUCCCCUGGGCCUGCACUGACGCUCAUGCACGAAAGCGUGGGGAGCAAACAGGAUUAGAUACCCCCGUAGUCCCUGUCUCUUAUACA